Molecule: ribosomal RNA, 253 nt
Filed under: uncultured bacterium
Lineage: Bacteria
Description: partial 16S ribosomal RNA
Rfam family: Bacterial small subunit ribosomal RNA
Source: RNAcentral
UACAGAGGGGGCAAGCGUUGUUCGGAAUUACUGGGCGUAAAGGGCGCGUAGGCGGCCUUCUAAGUCAGACGUGAAAUCCCUCGGCUCAACCGGGGAACUGCGUCUGAGACUGGAAGGCUUGAAUCCGGGAGAGGGAUGUGGAAUUCCAGGUGUAGCGGUGAAAUGCGUAGAUAUCUGGAGGAACACCGGUGGCGAAGGCGGCAGCCUGGACCGGUAUUGACGCUGAGGCGCGAAAGCCAGGGGAGCAAACGGG